UCCGUGCUGAAAGUAGCUUGCAAGGG
This 26-nucleotide small RNA is filed under the name Bombyx mori (domestic silkworm). RNAcentral describes it as "ovarian small RNA-27621". Lineage: Eukaryota; Metazoa; Arthropoda; Insecta; Lepidoptera; Bombycidae. The record is from RNAcentral.